This 301-nucleotide ribosomal RNA is filed under the name uncultured bacterium. Its description in RNAcentral is "partial 16S ribosomal RNA". It matches the Rfam family "Bacterial small subunit ribosomal RNA", at positions 509 to 807 of the family's 1533-position model. The record is from RNAcentral.
CAGUCGCCACGGUAAUACAGAGGGUGCGAGCGUUAAUCGGAUUUACUGGGCGUAAAGCGUGCGUAGGCGGCUUUUUAAGUCGGAUGUGAAAUCCCUGAGCUUAACUUAGGAAUUGCAUUCGAUACUGGGAAGCUAGAGUAUGGGAGAGGAUGGUAGAAUUCCAGGUGUAGCGGUGAAAUGCGUAGAGAUCUGGAGGAAUACCGAUGGCGAAGGCAGCCAUCUGGCCUAAUACUGACGCUGAGGUACGAAAGCAUGGGGAGCAAACAGGAUUAGAUACCCCAGUAGUCCCUGUCUCUUAUAC